Molecule: ribosomal RNA, 372 nt
Filed under: uncultured Streptococcus sp.
Lineage: Bacteria; Bacillati; Bacillota; Bacilli; Lactobacillales; Streptococcaceae
Description: bacterial SSU rRNA
Rfam family: Bacterial small subunit ribosomal RNA
Source: RNAcentral
GAAAGUUACUUCGGUACAUCGGUGACAGGUGGUGCAUGGUUUGUCGUCAGCUCGUGUCGUGAGAUGUUGGGUUAAGUCCCGCAACGAGCGCAACCCCUAUUGUUAGUUGCCAUCAUUCAGUUGGGCACUCUAGCGAGACUGCCGGUAAUAAACCGGAGGAAGGUGGGGAUGACGUCAAAUCAUCAUGCCCCUUAUGACCUGGGCUACACACGUGCUACAAUGGUUGGUACAACGAGUUGCGAGUCGGUGACGGCAAGCUAAUCUCUUAAAGCCAAUCUCAGUUCGGAUUGUAGGCUGCAACUCGCCUACAUGAAGUCGGAAUCGCCAGUAAUCGCGGAUCAGCACGCCGCGGUGAAUACGUUCCCGGGCCUU